UACGUAGGCAGCGAGCGUUGUUCGGAAUUACUGGGCGUAAAGAAUGUGUAGGUGGUGCUCUAAGUUUGGUGUGAAAUCUCCCGGCUCAACCGGGAGGGUGCAUCGAAAACUGGAGUGCUAGAGGAUGGGAGAGGCAAGCGGAAUUCCUGGUGUAGCGGUGAAAUGCGUAGAUAUCAGGAGGAACACCUGUGGUGUAGACAGCUUGCUGGACCAUUUCUGACACUGAGACACGAAAGCGUGGGUAGCAAACAGG
Molecule: ribosomal RNA, 253 nt
Filed under: uncultured bacterium
Lineage: Bacteria
Description: partial 16S ribosomal RNA
Rfam family: Bacterial small subunit ribosomal RNA
Source: RNAcentral